This 400-nucleotide ribosomal RNA is filed under the name uncultured bacterium. Its description in RNAcentral is "bacterial SSU rRNA". It matches the Rfam family "Bacterial small subunit ribosomal RNA", at positions 32 to 414 of the family's 1533-position model. The record is from RNAcentral.
AAUCAACGCUGGCGGCGUGCCUCAGACAUGCAAGUCGAACGAGAACCUCCCUUCGGGGAGGGGACAGUGGCGCACGGGUGAGUAACACGUGGGUAAUUUACCUUUGGGUGGGGAACAACAGCCGGAAACGGCUGCUAAUACCGCAUAAUGCAGCGGCUCGACAUCGAGACAGUUGUUAAAGCGGGGGAUCGCAAGACCUCGCGCCUGAAGAGAAGCCUGCGGCGGAUUAGCUAGUUGGUAGGGUAAUGGCCUACCAAGGCGACGAUCUGUAACCGGCCUGAGAGGGCGGUCGGUCACACUGACACUGACAUACGGGUCAGACUCCUACGGGAGGCAGCAGUCGGGAAUUUUGGGCAAUGGGCGAAAGCCUGACCCAGCAACGCCGCGUGAAGGAUGAAGC